Pelobates cultripes (western spadefoot toad) is the source of this 633-nucleotide non-coding RNA. The record is from the annotation of a GenBank genome assembly. Lineage: Eukaryota; Metazoa; Chordata; Amphibia; Anura; Pelobatidae.
CAUGUUCCUUCCAGGAUUGUCUGACACUUCUCCAACCAGAUGGUCAGACGCAGCGUAUACCACGGGUUUGGCAGCGAUCUACCGGGAACAAUUGCUUUGGGGCUGUUGGCCAUGGCAUCCAGGUUUGGAAAUUUUUCCACCACUUCAGCCCCUUUGGGAGAUCUACCCCAUUGUAGCAGCUGCUGUGGCAUGGGGUAAAUCAUGGUCAGGGUCAUCAAUCCGUUGUUACUCAGACAACUAAGCACAUAUCAUAUCAUCAACAAACGCCACUACUCAUCCAUAAGGUCAUGAUGUUUCUGGGGAACUCACUUGGUUGUCCACUUAUCACAUUUCACUUUCAUGUACCAGACGGGGGUAUACAUCCCUGCCGACAACUGUCUCAUUUAUAUUCCAGGCAUGUUCAUCAUACGCUUCCUACAGCCGCCCAUACAGUCACGUCCACUCUUUCGUUCCAGAGACAAAAUCAUGGAUUAGACAUACUCAUGCAGCAUAGCAUGCACUAUCCCACCUAGCACUUUCGUCCCAUACUUGUAGAACGCAUAACACAGCUUUUCACCUGGCUUAAAGAAUCUCAUUGGAACACGACAUAGCUCAACCUGUGUCACAAAAUUUCUCCUAAGUUUUGCUUAUUUU